RNAcentral lists this ribosomal RNA (1469 nucleotides) under human gut metagenome. Its description in RNAcentral is "bacterial LSU rRNA". It matches the Rfam family "Bacterial large subunit ribosomal RNA", at positions 1070 to 2557 of the family's 2925-position model. The record is from RNAcentral.
AGGAUGUGCAGUUGCACAGACAACCAGGAUGUUGGCUUAGAAGCAGCCACUCAUUCAAAGAGUGCGUAAUAGCUCACUGGUCGAGUGAAUGUGCGCCGAAAAUAUACCGGGGCUAAACGUGAUACCGAAGUCUGGGGAUCAAGAAAUUGAUCGGUAGGGGAGCAACGCAUACGGACAGAAGCAGAAGCGGGAGCGACUGUGGACUGUAUGGGAGAGAGAAUGCCGGCAUGAGUAGCGAGAGCAAAGUGAGAAUCUUUGCCGUCGAAAGCCUAAGGUUUCCUGAGGAAGGCUCGUCCUCUCAGGGUAAGUCGGGACCUAAGCCGAGGACAAGAGUCGUAGGCGAUGGACAACAGGUUGAUAUUCCUGUACCGUACUUAAGCGUUUGACUGAAGCAGUGACACAGAAGGAUAGACAGACCGGGGGAAUGGUAGACUCCGGCCAAGCAGUGAGGCUGACAUGUAGUGAAGUACGCAUGUUAAGGCUGGGCUGUGAUGGGGACUGAAGAUUAGUAAGGAAGCUGUUGAAUUCACACUGGCGAGAAAAGCUGCUAAGGAGCGAGAGUAUGCCCGUACCGCAAACCGACACAGGUAGGCGAGGAGAGAAUCCUAAGACGAGCGGGAGAACCCUUGUUAAGGAACUCGGCAAAAUGACUCCGUAACUUAGGGAGAAGGAGUGCCUCGAGAGAGGCCGCAGAGAAUAGGCCCAAGCGACUGUUUACCAAAAACACAGGUCUGUGCGAAGUAGAGAUACGACGUAUACGGGCUGACGCCUGCCCAGUGCCGGAAGGUUAAGGGGAAGUGUUAGGGCAACCGAAGCACGGAACUUAAGCCCCGGUGAACGGCGGCCGUAACUAUAACGGUCCUAAGGUAGCGAAAUUCCUUGUCGGGUAAGUUCCGACCCGCACGAAUGGCGUAACGACUUGGGCACUGUCUCAACAAGGGACCCGGCGAAAUUGUAGUAUGUGUGAAGAUGCACAUUACCCGCGAUAGGACGGAAAGACCCCGUAGAGCUUUACUGUAGUUUAACAUUGGAUUUUGAUAACACAUGUACAGGAUAGGUGGGAGGCUGAGAAACCGGCACGCCAGUGCCGAUGGAGCCGCUGUUGGGAUACCACUCUUGUGUUAUUGGAGUUCUAACGAAGUGCCGUAAACCGGGCUUCGGACAGUGUUAGAUGGGCAGUUUGACUGGGGCGGUCGCCUCCGAAAGAGUAACGGAGGCGUCCAAAGGUUCCCUCAGAAUGGUUGGAAACCAUUCACAGAGUGCAAAGGCAGAAGGGAGCUUGACUGCGAGACCGACAGGUCGAGCAGGUACGAAAGUAGGGCUUAGUGAUCCGGCGGUAUGAGAGUGGAAUUGCCGUCGCUCAACGGAUAAAAGCUACCUCGGGGAUAACAGGCUGAUCUCCCCCAAGAGUUCACAUCGACGGGGAGGUUUGGCACCUCGAUGUCGGCUCGUCGCAUCCUGGGGCUGGA